RNAcentral lists this unclassified non-coding RNA (277 nucleotides) under sea anemone metagenome. RNAcentral describes it as "partial contains small subunit ribosomal RNA and internal transcribed spacer 1". The stretch from base 1 to 154 matches the Rfam family "Eukaryotic small subunit ribosomal RNA", at positions 1678 to 1831 of the family's 1831-position model. The record is from RNAcentral.
GCACCUACCGAUUGAAUGGUUCGGUGAAAAUCUCGGACUGCGGCUUGGAUGCCUUCGGGCAACCAAGCUGUGGAAAGUUGUUUAAACCUCAUCAUUUAGAGGAGGGUGAAGUCGUAACAAGGUUUCCGUAGGUGAACCUGCAGAAGGAUCAAUAUCGUAAGAGCGUCGUGUAUGUAAAGAGUGUAUAUCUCUGUGUUCUCCUUAUCCUUAAAAAUAUAAUUUUAUCUUUCUCUUUCUUCUUUUUUUUCUUUCUCCUCAUCUCUUUUUUUUCUUCUCU